This is a long non-coding RNA of Notothenia coriiceps (black rockcod), 1396 nucleotides long. RefSeq lists it as uncharacterized. Lineage: Eukaryota; Metazoa; Chordata; Actinopteri; Perciformes; Nototheniidae. The transcript is spliced from 2 exons. The record is from RefSeq and is a predicted model, not a curated record.
GCAUUUAGCGCUGAUUCAAUUCUACAAAUAGUAUCAUUUGAGUGAUUUAAGUGUAAUUUAAUCUUUAUCUGCAACAUAUCAAAUUGAAGCAGAUUGAAUCAACAUGCCAAACGAAAGAAAAAGCAUUCAUAUGUGGUUUGUAAUGUAAGCGUUAUGGAUACAGCUUCAAACUAUUAGAUUAUCUCAUCGAUAUAUUCAGCAUUCAAAAUGAACACCCUGCACCCUGGCAGUUUGACGUGUACAGUGUGUGCGUUGGCUGCAGAUCAAACACUGUGAGGCUCCAAAUCAUUCAUUAUUUCCACAGUGUUCACCAGGAAGCGCUCAGGAAUACCAAUACUCUGCUGCUGUCUUCACACCACUAAGCAUGUUUCCUUUUCUGUUCUCGUCCUGUGUGUGUGUUUCAGGUUUCGCCUCAUUCCCCGCGCCCGACUCUCAGCCCAAAGUCCCUCGUCCGAUGUCGGUGAACCCGUUUACGGGCAAUGUUUACGCCAGUAGAGGGACGUCGCGAAACCCUUUCAUCUGACCCCCCCCCCCCCUUCUCUUCUUACUUCAUCUCUGGGAAAAAAGGGAGAACUUGAGGAGUCGCUGCCAUUUCAAUGCCUCUGGAGUAUUCUCCCCCUCUCUCCCCCCCCCCUCUGUCUGUGUUUACGUGUUAUAGUGAGGAACAAAAAAAUGUGUGAAUGUAAUUAUGGUAUUCAUGUGUGUCUGGGAUCGGUCGCCUGCUGUGUUUGUACCAUAUGUCAAAAAAGGUGUUUGUGUGCCAGUAGACGCCUCCUCAGGGCUCUGUGGGAGUCGAGAGUAGAACAACGCCUCUAUGAUUUUUGCAGAAACAAAACACACACACACACACACACACAUGUCGCUGCUGCUACUUUGCUUUCAUCUCCUGCUUUAAAGUGCAAAAAAAACUUGCCUAUCUGUGCAUCAGCGUCUUCUAAACAAACGAGUCAGUCGUCCAAAAGGAAGAGCCGGAUCGUGAGUUUCUACAGGAGCUCAUGACAGCCUUAACAGCCUCCUGGUGCACGGGAGUUAGCCUCUAAAGACGAGACAGGCUUUUCUCCGUGUUGAGUGUGUGGAACAUGUUUGCAUUACUCAUCGUUUUUUUUUUCUUCCCAGGUCAUCCUGUGGAAGGAUAAUGUAUGUUUUCCACUUCCUAGGCUGCAUGCGCUUAGAGGGCUAAAAGGAGAUGCUACUGAAUGUAAAAGAAAUUUCAGAAUAACUUAAAUGUGUAUAAACAGUUCGUCAUUGCUUCACGUUCCGGACCAUAAUGUUUUUUUGUUUUUUGUUGACAUGGAGGCGAAGUUCAUUUCCCCGUAUAUGCCAAAAAGAAAAGAGAUUAAUGUGUCUUUGUGAAGACGAGUAUUCAUGUUCAUAAAAUCAGUUUGUUGCUUCUUAA